This 251-nucleotide ribosomal RNA is filed under the name uncultured bacterium. RNAcentral describes it as "partial 16S ribosomal RNA". It matches the Rfam family "Bacterial small subunit ribosomal RNA", at positions 526 to 776 of the family's 1533-position model. The record is from RNAcentral.
CGAAGGAUGCAAGCGUUAUCCGGAUUUAUUGGGUUUAAAGGGAGCGUAGGCGGCCUUAUAAGUUAGUGGUGAAAUCUCCUCGCUUAACGAGGAAAUUGCCAUUGAUACUGUAGGGCUUGAGUACAGUUGCCGUUGGCGGAAUAUGACAUGUAGUGGUGAAAUACAUAGAGAUGUCAUAGAACACCGAUUGCGAAGGCAGCUAACGAAACUGUAACUGACGCUGAGGCUCGAAAGUGCGGGGAUCAAACAGG